UACGAAGGGGGCUAGCGUUGCUCGGAAUCACUGGGCGUAAAGCGCACGUAGGCGGAUUGCUAAGUCAGGGGUGAAAUCCUGGAGCUCAACUCCAGAACUGCCCUUGAUACUGGCGGUCUCGAGUCCGGGAGAGGUGAGUGGAACUGCGAGUGUAGAGGUGAAAUUCGUAGAUAUCGCAAGACACCAGUGGCGAAGGCGGC
Molecule: ribosomal RNA, 200 nt
Filed under: uncultured bacterium
Lineage: Bacteria
Description: partial 16S ribosomal RNA
Rfam family: Bacterial small subunit ribosomal RNA
Source: RNAcentral